RNAcentral lists this ribosomal RNA (456 nucleotides) under uncultured bacterium. RNAcentral describes it as "bacterial SSU rRNA". It matches the Rfam family "Bacterial small subunit ribosomal RNA", at positions 28 to 525 of the family's 1533-position model. The record is from RNAcentral.
GAUGAACGCUGGCGGCGUGCCUAAUACAUGCAAGUCGAGCGGUAACACUUCGGGUGACGAGCGGCGGACGGCUGAGUAACGCGUAGGAACGUACCCCAAAGUGAGGGAUAAGCCCGAGAAAUCGGGUCUAAUACCGCAUGUGAUCUUCGGAUUAAAGCUUUAUGCGCUUUGGGAACGGCCUGCGUAUGAUUAGGUUGUUGGUGAGGUAAUGGCUCACCAAGCCUACGAUCAUUAGCUGGUCUGAGAGGAUGAUCAGCCAGACUGGGACUGAGACACGGCCCAGACUCCUACGGGAGGCAGCAGUAGGGAAUUUUCCACAAUGGGCGAAAGCCUGAUGGAGCAACGCCGCGUGCAGGAUGAAGGCCUUCGGGUUGUAAACUGCUUUUGUUUGUGACGAUUAUGACGGUAACAAGCGAAUAAGGGUCUGCUAACUACGUGCCAGCAGCCGCGGUAACA